AUGAACGCUGGCGGCGUGCCUAAUACAUGCAAGUCGAGCGAACAGACGAGGAGCUUGCUCCUCUGACGUUAGCGGCGGACGGGUGAGUAACACGUGGAUAACCUACCUAUAAGACUGGGAUAACUUCGGGAAACCGGAGCUAAUACCGGAUAAUAUAUUGAACCGCAUGGUUCAAUAGUGAAAGACGGUUUUGCUGUCACUUAUAGAUGGAUCCGCGUCGCAUUAGCUAGUUGGUAAGGUAACGGCUUACCAAGGCAACGAUGCGUAGCCGACCUGAGAGGGUGAUCGGCCACACUGGAACUGAGACACGGUCCAGACUCCUACGGGAGGCAGCAGUAGGGAAUCUUCCGCAAUGGGCGAAAGCCUGACGGAGCAACGCCGCGUGAGUGAUGAAGGUCUUCGGAUCGUAAAACUCUGUUAUUAGGGAAGAACAAAUGUGUAAGUAACUAUGCACGUCUUGACGGUACCUAAUCAGAAAGCCACGGCUAACUACGUG
Molecule: ribosomal RNA, 496 nt
Filed under: uncultured bacterium
Lineage: Bacteria
Description: partial 16S ribosomal RNA
Rfam family: Bacterial small subunit ribosomal RNA
Source: RNAcentral